RNAcentral lists this ribosomal RNA (406 nucleotides) under uncultured bacterium. Its description in RNAcentral is "partial 16S ribosomal RNA". It matches the Rfam family "Bacterial small subunit ribosomal RNA", at positions 30 to 526 of the family's 1533-position model. The record is from RNAcentral.
AUUGAACGCUGGCGGCAGGCCUAACACAUGCAAGUCGAACGAGUGGCGGACGGGUGAGUAAUGUCUGGGAAACUGCCUGAUGGCGGGGGAUAACUACUGUAAACGGUAGCUAAUACCGCAUACCAUCAGAUGUGCCCAGAUGGGAUUAGCGAGUUGGUGGGGUAACGGCUCACCCAGGAGAAGAUCCCUAGCUGGUCUGAGAGGAUGACCAGCCACGCUGAGACGGAGACACGGUCCAGACUCCUACGGGAGGCAGCAGUGGGGAAUAUUGCACAAUGGGCGCAAGCCUGAUGCAGCCAGGCCGCGUGUAUGAAGAAGGCCUGCGGGUUGUAAAGUACUUUCAGCGGGGAGGCGUUACCCGCAGAAGAAGCACCGGCUAACUCCGUGCCAGCAGCCGCGGUAAUUC